Molecule: long non-coding RNA, 1031 nt
Filed under: Equus caballus (horse)
Lineage: Eukaryota; Metazoa; Chordata; Mammalia; Perissodactyla; Equidae
Description: lncRNA (ENSECAG00000047813.1)
Source: RNAcentral
UUUUAUUUAAAAAUGAAUAGUUCCUUUUUGAGAUGAACAUAGAUACCCCAAAAAAGGGCAUACAAGCAUGUACAAUUUAAUAAUUAUUAAGUACAGACACAUGUAACCACGAUGCAAAACGUGUAAUCACCAUCCAGGUCAAGAAAUAAGACAUUGUAGCACUGUAGAGCAAGUCAUCCCACACCUCCAGAGGGAACUCUUAUCCCAACUUUUAUGAUAAUCAUUUCACCAAUUCCCUUUUCAAACAACCUGUCCUAAAAGUCAUGGUGGGGAAAAGAAAAAAGAACCCAUGUGUUGGCAGCCUGGCCUCAUGGCCUAGUGGUUAAGUUCAGCAUGCUGCUUUGGUGACCUAGGUUUGUGGGCUCAGAUCCCAGGCACAGACCUAUACCACUCGUCAGCUGUGCUGUGGCAGUGACCCACAUAUAAAAUAGAGGAAGAUUAGCAACAGAUGUUAGCUCAGGGCUAAUCUUCAUCAGCAAAAAAAAAUAAGAGCCCGUGUGGUCUCUUGAUAAGAUGCUAACCAUGGUCAGUUUCUCCAUAGUAAUUACUACACGUCACAAUUAGUUUAAAAAGUCUUCUGAGACCAUCAUUGCCCCAUGAGACUCUAAUUCAGAUUCCUGAUGCUGAAUAUGAUGAAUCAUAUUCAAAGACUAUAGGGUCUCUCUGAGAAGACUUUUCCCCAGAUGUUCUAAAUUGGAUGCUUUUUUGCUUUUAUACCCUGAACAGGUUUUGUGGGCUCUGAGAGGAUCGUGAUUCUCCUUGGUGGCAGAACAGAGACAAUGGAUAUUGAAGACACUUAGCCCAAACACCUGUGAAGAAGGCCUCAGGUCAGAAGAGACAUGUCCCUCCUUCAUAUGACCCUUCAAAGGCUGGAGGAGGUGUUUGAGGGAACUGCAUCUCAAUCCUGUCAUGUGGUAGGCAGCCUAGUGAUAGGCAACCUAAUUACCCUUGACUUUGCUUAACCUACCUGACUUCUGAAUCAUGAUAAUAGCUGCCAUUUUUUGAGCUCUUGCCUUAUGCUAGGAAAUGUG